RNAcentral lists this ribosomal RNA (720 nucleotides) under Rhodocyclaceae bacterium enrichment culture clone N48. RNAcentral describes it as "bacterial SSU rRNA". It matches the Rfam family "Bacterial small subunit ribosomal RNA", at positions 1 to 717 of the family's 1533-position model. Lineage: Bacteria; Pseudomonadati; Pseudomonadota; Betaproteobacteria; Rhodocyclales; Rhodocyclaceae. The record is from RNAcentral.
AGAUUGAGUUUGAUCCUGGCUCAGAUUGAACGCUGGCGGAAUGCUUUACACAUGCAAGUCGAACGGCAGCACGGGAGCUUGCUCCUGGUGGCGAGUGGCGAACGGGUGAGUAAUGCGUCGGAACGUACCGAGUAAUGGGGGAUAACGCACCGAAAGGUGUGCUAAUACCGCAUACGCCCUGAGGGGGAAAGUGGGGGAUCGCAAGACCUCACGUUAUUCGAGCGGCUGACGUCUGAUUAGCUAGUUGGUGGGGUAAAGGCCUACCAAGGCGACGAUCAGUAGCGGGUCUGAGAGGAUGAUCCGCCACACUGGGACUGAGACACGGCCCAGACUCCUACGGGAGGCAGCAGUGGGGAAUUUUGGACAAUGGGGGCAACCCUGAUCCAGCCAUUCCGCGUGAGUGAAGAAGGCCUUCGGGUUGUAAAGCUCUUUCAGCUGGAACGAAACGGUGAGCUCUAACAUAGCUUGCUAAUGACGGUACCAGCAGAAGAAGCACCGGCUAACUACGUGCCAGCAGCCGCGGUAAUACGUAGGGUGCGAGCGUUAAUCGGAAUUACUGGGCGUAAAGCGUGCGCAGGCGGAUUGUUAAGCAAGAUGUGAAAUCCCCGGGCUUAACCUGGGAAUGGCAUUUUGAACUGGCAGUCUAGAGUGUGUCAGAGGGGGGUGGAAUUCCACGUGUAGCAGUGAAAUGCGUAGAGAUGUGGAGGAACACCGAUGGCG